Long non-coding RNA from Talpa occidentalis (Iberian mole), 302 nucleotides. RefSeq lists it as uncharacterized. The transcript has 3 exons. NCBI's taxonomy places the organism in Eukaryota, Metazoa, Chordata, Mammalia, Eulipotyphla, Talpidae. The record is from RefSeq and is a predicted model, not a curated record.
UGUGGAUUCAUGAAGUCUGCAUCAACCCUAGUAAUAACUAUUUCACAUUAUAGUGAAGAAUGUGGGACUCAGUGAAGUCAAGUAAAUAUGCUCAAGAACACACUGCUGUUAAGUGUCAGAGAACAAAAGUGAACCAAAGUUUAACAAAUGAGCUUUAUGGAAAAUGGAAGAGAGCCAAUCCUUUUACCCCAAUGCUUUAAUGGUUAAAGAAGAAAACACUUGAGAAUGACAGACUAUUGAGAAACUAAUGACAUUGAAGGUACUAGCUACCAAAACUUGUGGGCUUCAGAUAAAGAUGCACU